Molecule: long non-coding RNA, 272 nt
Organism: Lacerta agilis (Sand lizard)
Lineage: Eukaryota; Metazoa; Chordata; Lepidosauria; Squamata; Lacertidae
Exons: 2
Source: RefSeq, a predicted model, not a curated record
CUCCUAUGCAAAGCUUUCCUAAGGCAAUUUGUCCAGGCACAACCCCCCACCCCCGGGGAUAAUGAAAUAUAUUGGCAAUCUCUCUUCGAUGUUUAAACCCCUCUCUCCGUGAAGGAGUAAGAUCUGAUGGCACGUCUACUAGUGUCACAGAAUUGGAAAGGAUUGAAACAUCUGUCUAUCUCCAGUUGGAAACAGAAUGGAUGGUCUAUUGCUGCAUCAGAGAAAUUAACAAAGAGAUUACAUGCAUUGAAUAAUACAAAUGAUGUAGACGA